This 65-nucleotide transfer RNA is filed under the name Camelus bactrianus (Bactrian camel). It matches the Rfam family "tRNA". From Rfam's summary of the family: Transfer RNA (tRNA) molecules are approximately 80 nucleotides in length. Their secondary structure includes four short double-helical elements and three loops (D, anti-codon, and T loops). Further hydrogen bonds mediate the characteristic L-shaped molecular structure. tRNAs have two regions of fundamental functional importance: the anti-codon, which is responsible for specific mRNA codon recognition, and the 3' end, to which the tRNAs corresponding amino acid is attached (by aminoacyl-tRNA synthetases). tRNAs cope with the degeneracy of the genetic code in two manners: having more than one tRNA (with a specific anti-codon) for a particular amino acid; and 'wobble' base-pairing, i.e. permitting non-standard base-pairing at the 3rd anti-codon position. Lineage: Eukaryota; Metazoa; Chordata; Mammalia; Artiodactyla; Camelidae. The record is from Rfam by way of RNAcentral. RNAcentral also lists the same sequence under 3 other names.
GGUAUAGCUCAGUGGUAGAGCACAUGCUUAGCAUGCACGAGGUCCUGGGUUCAAUCCCUAGUACC